GCCAGGGUAGCUCAGUGGUAGAGCACCGGAUUCAUAAACCGGCGGUCGAGAGUUCAAUCCUCUCCCCUGGUA
This 72-nucleotide transfer RNA is filed under the name Candidatus Gottesmanbacteria bacterium RIFCSPLOWO2_01_FULL_40_10. RNAcentral describes it as "tRNA-Met". It matches the Rfam family "tRNA". Rfam says of the family: Transfer RNA (tRNA) molecules are approximately 80 nucleotides in length. Their secondary structure includes four short double-helical elements and three loops (D, anti-codon, and T loops). Further hydrogen bonds mediate the characteristic L-shaped molecular structure. tRNAs have two regions of fundamental functional importance: the anti-codon, which is responsible for specific mRNA codon recognition, and the 3' end, to which the tRNAs corresponding amino acid is attached (by aminoacyl-tRNA synthetases). tRNAs cope with the degeneracy of the genetic code in two manners: having more than one tRNA (with a specific anti-codon) for a particular amino acid; and 'wobble' base-pairing, i.e. permitting non-standard base-pairing at the 3rd anti-codon position. Lineage: Bacteria; Candidatus Gottesmaniibacteriota. The record is from RNAcentral. RNAcentral also lists the same sequence under 1 other name.